AAUCCCCUCCCCUCGCUCGUUUUCCUCUCCUCGCAAAUAACCGAGCACAACGUCGCCGUCGUUGUGUCGAUCCCGCGGCCACGUGCCUCCCCGUUCCGAACCAUCGCGUCCAGGAGGCGCGUCGCCGUCACCUUCAUCGACUACACCAGCAAAUUGGGGCGUAGGCACUGCAUCGACGACGCACGCGUCUUCCUCCGUCACGGUCGUCGGACGACGCUGUUUGAUCCACACCAUCACGGCAACCUCCGGCCUCCCCGACCUUGCCUAUGUGCUCGCGGUGAGCACCUCCCCCGGAUCCCCCUUCUUCCCGCCUUGAUUCGAUGCCGUAGUCACCGUCCCCGAGUACGUCCAAGCUCCCGCGUACGCGUACGCUUACGUGGGUGCUUGAGCCGCUGCUGCUACUGCCUGCUCACCACUACUCCUGCUGCUCCCUGGCCGCGCCCUCCCAGCUGCCCACGCCGGCGCACAGCUGUGCUCGCCGCAACUGCAUGAUGUCGUUGCCGCCGCUACCUGCCGGCUGUUGCGUUGCCGCAUGCUGCUGCCCGCACCACGCCCUGCUAGCGCCCGAGCCGCACCGGCCCUGCGCACACGCGCGCACCAGCCCGCUUGCUCGCAGCCACAGGCUGCUGCUCCUAACCACCACCCACGCGAGCCCUUUUGGCCUUGCUACCGUGCGUUCAUGCGCGUGCAUGCCCAGCCAUGGGCAUGGCUGUGCCUCUGGCCGGCCCGUUUAAUUGGACUAGGAUUAGCAUUUGAUUGGUUUAGUGUUUGUUUAAUUUAGCUAGGGCUAAUUUAGUCUAUGCCAUGUGGGACCCUAGCUUAGUUAACUCCAUUAAUUUAAUCCAACUUAAAGUAAGUCAAUGACAUGUAGGUCCCCUGGAGAUUAAAAUAAAUAACCAAAAUAAAGUUAGCUACUGUCUGUGACAGCUGGGUCCCCCUCACACUGUUCACUUUGACCGGUCAACUCUGACUGGGUUGUUGACAGGGUCAACCGGGUUCCCUUGGCCCACAUGUCACCCUCUGUGUACACUUCUCUGUACACAGAUCUGGGUACACCUAGCAUUUACUCAUUAUUUUCGAAUUAAUAUUAAUAUCAGAAUAUUAUUAAAUCUUUGAAAUAUCAUAGGAAUUAAUCCGUAACUCGGAUGAAAAAGUUUUAUACAUGAAAGUUGCUCAGAAAAAUAUGACGAAUCCGAAUACGCUCUCUGUUCAUCCGUCACGUGCCCCUAGCAUAGUGAAUAUCGAACUUUUCCCCUCCCGUUCGUUUGUCCGAAAAUGCCUAACUCCGGGAAAACUUUCCGGAUGUUAUCACCCUUCGCCGGUAUCGUGUAGCACCGCGUUAGAACAUGUCUAGCUCUGUGUGUUGUCCUGUUAUGCUCUUACUUGCUAUGUAUUUACUGUUUCUUCCCCCCUCUUCUCUCCGGUAGACCCCGAGAUCGCUGCUGAUGUCCCUGUGAUCGACUACGUCGACGACGACCCUUCUUCCCUUUCAGCGGAGCUUCCAGGCAAGCCCCCCCUUUGAUCAUCCCGAUAUCGCCCAUUCCAUUCUCUCAUGCUUGCAUUAGAUUUUGCUACUGUUAUUGUUUGCUCCUAUUCUGAUGCAUAGCCUACUUUUGUACCUGCUAUUGUUACCUACCUGCUUAUCCUAAACUACUUAGUAUAGGUUGGUUAGAGAUCCAUCAGUGACCACCACCUUGUCCUUGUUACCCCUGCUUCAUCUUCGACGACUCGAUCAACUUGAUCGAUGACCAGAGCCUGACACCUCACAUCACAUCACGCCCCUUUAGUUGCUCGACUCUACAGAGCUACUAUCGAGUGCCGAGGGUGAUCCCUCAUAACGCACUCCUGAUGAUAAUUCUGUGGUGUAGCUAUUCGGUCGUGGUCAACAGGGGUGGUUCCUCUUUCACCAUUCCCGAUACGGCUCUUACGUUCACCUUGAUGAUUACAUUGAGUGGAAUCCACCGGGGGUGAUUCCUCGGGUUUUCCCCUUGAUGUCUGGACACACGGUUACCUUGACUUUACUUGAGACAUUGGUGAAAGUCGGGCGGGCCCGGAGAGCACCCGAGGAGUUAUGGUGGCGGCUGGCUGUUUAGCGGUAUCACCCAGGAGGGGGUGAUAGCUCCGGACUUGUCCCGACAGCUGUCACUUCUUUUAAUAAUGCACUAACAGGUUUGGGUAUUUGUUGUGAAUUGGCCUUUGGCCUUUACGCACUAACCACCACGCGAGAAUAGUUAUAGGCCUCGACGUCGUGGUAUCAGCCGAAGCUUUGUCAGACAUCCAGUUCAGUUGCGGCACGGCCUGGUCGGCGCCCCAGUGGAGGUGGCCUGUGUCGCCCUGCGCGCAACGAUCUGGAGUGCAACGGGCGAUGGGCCCAGACCCCGGAGUGCUUAGGAUGUAGACCGGCGGGGCCUCUCUGCUGAGCCUAGGUAGGGCUGUGACGUGUUGAUCUUCCAAGGCCGGGCAUUGACCCAGAAAAGUGUGUCCGGACAGAGUGAUCGAGCGUGUUGGAAAACAUGGUGCACCCCUGCAGGGAAGAUACAUAUUCGAAUACCGUGUCCACGGUAAUGGACGUUCAGACUUAUAUCUUGAUCUAAUACAACUGGAAAUGGAUACUUAAGUUAUGUGGCUCCGGGAUUGCUUUCUCGCAGGGAGUCGAGGAAGGAUCUCUCGGCAUUAUUGCUACAACAUGCUUGAUAAUUAAACUGCUAUUCUUUACUCUUCUACAUGCUGCAAGACGCUUGGAGCUGCUUGAAGAUGCUAGUCUUUAUAGGCUAGGCCUUCCCCCCCUAUUCUGGCAUUCUGCAGUUCAGUCCACGGAUACAGCCCUUCCUUUUGGUACCAAUGCAUACUUAGUAUAGAUCUGAUGCUUGUGAGUACAUUGGAUGAGUACUCACGGUUGCUUUGCUUCCCCUUUUCCCCCUUCUUUCUUCUUUCCGGUUGAUGCAACCAGAUGGUGGAUCCCUGGAGCUAGAUGCCACCACCGAUGGAUACUAGUACGUGGAGCCCGCCGAUGACCAGGAGUAGUUAGGAGGUCCCAGGCAGGAGGCCUUGCCUCUUCGAUCGUUGAUAUUUGUGCUAGCCUUCUUAAGGAAUCCUUUUUUAACUAAUGUCUGUACUCAGAUAUUGUUGCUUCCGCUGACGCUUGUGUUUCGAGCUUCUGUAUUCGAGCCCUCGAGGCCCCUGGCUUGUAAUGUGAAGCUUGUAUGAAUUUCAUUUGUGUUUAGAGUUGUGUUGUGAUAUCUUCCCGUGAGUCCCUGAUCUUGAUCGUAUGCGUUUGCGUGUAUGAUUAGUGUACGAUCGAACCGGGGGCGUCACAAGUUGGUAUCAGAGCCGACUGCCUGUAGGAACCCCCCUUUCCAACUCCUUGGCCGAAGUUGAGUCUAGUCUUUGAAAACUGAUUUACUAACAUGGCUGUGUGGCUUACGGGCCCACGUCCCCAAAUGGGUGGUAUUAGGAUCUUUUACUCCUCGUCUAUGCUCCGGGACUCUGAUCUCUCCUCUAUUCGGGUUAAAUUAUUUUGCUAACUCUAACAUUAGGAUCUUGUGAUCACAUCCAUCCGGAGGUUUGUGUUACCCCUUUCUCAAAUUGUGGGCCAAGAUCGGCUUCUCAAUGUUCACUGACCGCAGGAUUCUCUUAUCGAGGGCACCCUGCGUCGCCAUUUGCAAAUCCCUCGCUCCAAUGGUUUUCUCCAAUGUUGGUGUAGCCUUUGCUAUGUCCGGUUGUGAUAUCCCUCCAUCGCGUGCAUGCGUGCUGCCUAGUAUGUCUAUGAUGUUUCUCUUCUCCGAACUCAUUCGAACAACGUGUAACUGGCUCUAUCUAUGUAUCAGCAUGUCUUUAAUGACUACUGCCUUGUACAUACCGCACCUUUGCUCAUUGUUCAGUUACAUCAUGAAUGACUCCUUACACUUGCUCCACUCCUUGUUAAACCGCUCCCUGAUGUUUUUAGUGGGAUGGCUGACAAUCCACCACCUCCUGAAUUCAUGGCUGAAAUGAUAGAACAGACUGAUGCUGAAUCGCCAGUUCAUGGUAGGAGUCAUGGCUCAGUUUCUGCAUCCCAUUAUGAAUCAGCAACCCGCCCCAGAGACUCUACAAGACUUUGCGAGUCUCAACCCCUUCAUCUACCACAGCUCAACUCAACCCCUUGAUGCUGAUGACUGGCUCCAUGACAUCACUUUUGAGUGGGAGUGUGCUAAUGUAGCCCCUGCCAACCGUGUCACCUUCGCGGCUUACUACCUGAAAGGUCUCGCUGCUCAAUUCCUUACCCGUUGGAACCGCCAUCACCUGGCCGGAAUUCCAAGCUACAUUUCGCGGGCCAAUGUCGAACCAAUAUGGUUAGUCACAGCGUCCCCGUUGAACUUGAAGGGUUGGAAUUCCAUGUUUCCCCAUUGUUUUGAAGUCUUCCAAUAUUGACCUCAUUCUGGGAAUGGAAUGAUUGAAAACCCAUACCACUUCUAUCAAUUGCACCAUUAAGACCAUCCAUCUACUACAUCCAUCAAAUGAGAUAGUGAGCUACCAUGUUCAUUUUGUUUCGAAAUGCCGAAGCACAUAUUUAUCCCUUGAAUGCGUUAAACAUUCUCCUCUUGUGAGAAUUCAAAACGCUCAUGUCGUUUGUGAAUUCCAAGAUGUCCUUCCAGAAGAACUACCCAAUCCAUGACCUUAGAUUUUCUGUAGUUAAAUUUUCACUAAAGUUGUGGCGACAUUAUCUUCCUGGUAAUCGUUGCGAGAUCUUCACCGAUCAACAAAGUCUGAAGUAUUUGUUUACUCACCUAGAUCUGGAUCUCCGUCAACAACGAUGUAUGGAAACAAUCUUAGACUAUGACUACGGUAUUUCUUAUACACCUGGCAAGGCUAAUCUUGGCCGAUGCCCUGAGUCGCAAGUCCUAUUGCAACAACCACAUGGCUUUUAAAGCUUAACCCCUGCAAGAUGAUCUCACUUACAGAGAGCAUCCAGCCCGCGUUCUCGUUCAAAGCUGAACGUCGCACCCGUUAGAAGUCUAUCAAAUUUCUAAAAGUUCAGUGGUCAAGUCAUUUUGAAGAUGAAGCCACUUCAGAAUGCGAGGAUCAUCCCCAUGAUGAAUACCCCGCUUUGUUUCCGUCUACCUCCUAAAAUCUCGGGACGAGAUUUCUUGUAGUGGAGGAGAUUUGUAACGCCCGGAUAGUUAAGCUACAGUAAUCCCCUACUAAUGAUGUAAUGGCAUCACUUUUACUUUGCUAGGUCCCACAUUGGUUCAAACCAUUUCAAAUUUCAAAUUAAAAUAAAGUCAAAUAAAAUAUUUCUUCAAACUGUCAAAAGAAAUGUUCGUCGGGUUGCGAAUAUUCACUAACUAAUUGUCAUGAAUAAACCAACAUUAAUUGAGUUAUUAAAAUGCCCUUAACCUAAGAAAAUUUGGAACGACAACAUUUAUUUGAACCAAUUUGAAUUAAAAAAUAUUGAAAUUAUUCCAAAUAAAUUGUAACUUGGCGGUCUAACUCAGCGCACUGCCUAAUAUAUGUGUGCCAAAUUUCAUACUCAACUAAAUUCAUUUAGCUUAUAAAAGAAUGCAAAACAGUAAAGAAAAUAAGAAACAGAAAAGUAUAAAAGGAAAAGGCCUAAUUACUACUAUGUUAGUGGGCUCUAGUGGCACUAUGCACCUUGGCCCAUCUAGCAAAAAUAGCCAGCCCAACCCACCUCACCUCUACUUCCACCUCCAGCUACAGGAACAGGGGAUCGUGAUGGGCAUCCAGCCGCGCCAUGGCGCGUGCCAGCCAUCCCCCGGCCCCCUUGGAGUAUAAGGCCGAGCCCCCGACCCCCCUGACGAACCCUAGCCUCAAAAUCCCCUCCCCCCUCGCUCGUUUUCCUCUCCUCGUACACAACCGAGCGCAACGUCGCCGUCGUUGCGUCGAUCCCGCGGCCCCAUGCCUCCCCGUUCCGAACCAUCGUGUCCAGGAGGCGCGUCGCCGUCACCUUCAUCGACUACACCAGCAGAUCGGGGCGUAGGCGCUGCAUUGAUGACACACGCGUCUUCCUCCGCCACGGCCAUCGGACGACGCUGUUUGAUCCGCACCAUCCCGGCAACCUCCGGCCUCCCCGACCUCGCCUACCUGCUCGCGGUGAGCACCUCCCCCGAAUCCCCCUUCUUCCCGCCUCGAUUCGAUGCCGUAGUCGCCGUCCCCGAGUUCGUCCGAGCUCCCGCGUGCGCGUAUGCUUACGUGCGUGCUUGAGCCGCUGCUGCUACUGCCUGCUCACCACUACUCUUGCUGCUGCACUGCUGCUCCCUGGCCGCUCCCUCGCAGCUGCCCGCGCCGGUGCAUAGCUGUGCUCGCCGCAACUGCAUGCUGUCGUUGCCGCCGCUACCUGCUGGCUGUUGCGUUGCCGCAUGCUGCUGCCCACACCACGCCCUGCUAGUGCCCGAGCCGCACCGGCCCUGCGCACACGCGCACACCAGCCCGCUUGCUCGCAACCACAUGCUGCUGCUCCUAGCCACCACCCACGCGAGCCCUUUUGGCCAUGCUGCCGUGCGUUCAUGCGCGUGCAUGCCCAUCCAUGGGCAUGGCUGUGCCUCUGGCCGGCCCGUUUAAUUAGACUAGGAUUAGCACUUGAUUAGUUUAGUGUUUGUUUAAUUUAGCUAGGGCUAAUUUAGUCUAUGCCAUGUGGGACCCUAGCUUAGUUAACUCCAUUAAUUUAAUCCAACUUAAAGUACGUCAAUGACAUGUAGGUCCCCUGGAGAUUAAAAAUAAUAACCAAAAUAAAGUUAGCUACUGUCUGUGACAGCUCGGUCCCUCUGACACUGUUCACUCUGACCGGUCAACUCUGACUGGGUUGUUGACUGGGUCAACCGGGUUCCCCUGGCCCACAUGUCACCCUCUGUGUACACAGAUCUGGUUACACCUAGCAUUUACUCAUUAUUUUUGAAUUAAUAUUAAUUUCAGAAUAUUAUUAAAUCUUUGAAAAAUCAUAGGAAUUAAUCCGUAACUCGGAUGAAAAAGUUUUAUACAUGAAAGUUGCUCAGGAAAAUAUAACGAAUCGGAAUACGCUCUCCGUUCAUCCGUCACGUGCCCCUAGCAUAGCGAAUAACGAACUUUUCCCCUCCGGUUCGUCUGUCCAAAAAUGCCUAACUCCGGGAAAACUUUUCGGAUGUUAUCACCCUUCGCCGGUAUCGUGUAGCACCGCGUUAGAACAUGUCUAGCUCUGUGUGUUGUCCUGUUAUGCUCCUACUUGCUAUGUAUUUACUGUUUCUUCCCCCCUCUUCUCUCCGGUAGACCCCGAGAUCGUUGCUGAUGUCCCUGUGAUCGACUACGUCGACGACGACCCUUCUUCCCUUUCAGCGGAGCUUCCAGGCAAGCCCCCACUUUGAUCAUCCCGAUAUCGCCCAUUCCAUUCUCUCAUGCUUGCAUUAGAUUUUGCUACUGUUAUUGUUUGCUCCUAUUCUGAUGCAUAGCCUGCUUUUGUACCUGCUAUUGUUACCUACCUGCUUAUCCUAAACUGCUUAGUAUAGGUUGGUUAGAGAUCCAUUAGUGGCCACCACCUUGUCCUUGUUGCCCCUGCUUCAUCUUUGGUGACUCGAUCAACGUGAUCGAUGAUCAGAGCCUGACUCCUCACAUCACAUCACGCCCCUUUAGUUGCUCGACUCUGCAGAGCUACUAUCGAGUGCCGAGGGUGAUCCCUCAUAACGCACUCCUGAUGAUAAUUCUGUAGUGUAGCUAUUCGGUCAUGGUCAACGGGGGUGGUUCCUCUUUCACCAUUCCCGAUAUGACUCUGUCGUGCAACACCUCAAGCGUGAACCUCGAGGGUGGUCCCUCUUACGUUCACCUUGAUGAUUACAUUGAGUGGAAUCCACCGGGGGUGAUUCCUCGGGUUUUCCCCCUGAUGUCUGGACACACGGUUACCUUGACUUUACUUGAGACAUUGGUGAAAGUCGGGCGGCCCGGAGAGCACCUGAGGAGUUAUGGUGGCGGCUGGCUGUUUAGCGGUAUCACCCAGGAGGGGUGAUAGCUCCGGACUUGUCCCGACAGCCGUCACUUCUUUUAAUAAUGCACUAACAUGUUUGGGUAUUUGUUGUGAAUUGGCCUUUGGCCUUUACGCACUAACCGCCACACGAGAAUAGUUAUGGGCCUCGACGUCGUGGUAUGAGCCGAAGCUUUGUCAGACGUCCAGUUCAGCAUUGCGGCACGGCCUGGUCGGCGCCCCAGUGGAGGUGGCCUGUAUCGCCAUGCACACAACGAUCUGGAGUGCAACGGGCGAUGGGCCCAGACCCCGGAGUGCUUAGGAUGUAGACCGGCGGGGACCUCUCUGCUGAGCCUAGGUAGGGCUGCGACGUGUUGACCUUCCGAGGUCGGGCAUUGACCCAGAAAAGUGUGUCGGGCCAGAGUGAUCGAGUGUGUUGGAAAACGUGGUGCACCCCUGCAGGGAAGAUACAUAUUCGAAUACCGUGUCCACGGUAAUGGACGUUCAGACUUAUAUCUUGAUCUAAUACAACUAGAAAUGGAUACUUAAGUUAUGUGGCUCCGGGAUUGCUUUCUCGCAGGGAGUCGAGGAAGGAUCUCUGGGCAUUAUUGCUACAACAUGCUUGAUAAUUAAACUGCUAUUCUUUACUCUUCUACAUGCUGCAAGAUGCUUGGAGCUGCUUGAAGAUGCUAGUCUUCCAUAGGCUAGGCCUUCCCCCCUAUUCUGGCAUUCUGCAGUUCAGUCCACAGAUACAGCCCUUCCUUUUGGUACCAAUGCAUACUUAGUAUAGAUCUGAUGCUUGCGAGUACUUUGGAUGAGUACUCACGGUUGCUUUGCUUCCCCUUGUCCCCCCUUCUUUCUUCUUUCCGGUUGAUGCAACUAGAUGGUGGAUCCCUGGAGCUAGAUGCCACCACCGACGGAUACUACUACAUGGAGCCCGCCGACGACCAGGAGUAGUUAGGAGGUCCCAGGCAGGAGGCCUUGCCUCUUCGAUCGUUGAUGUUUGUGCUAGCCUUCUUAAGGUAUCCUUGUUGAACUAAUGUCUGUACUCAGAUAUUGUUGCUUCCGUUGACGCUUGUGUUUCGAGCUUCUGUAUUCGAGCCCUCGAGGCCCC
This 9038-nucleotide long non-coding RNA is filed under the name Triticum aestivum (bread wheat). Its description in RNAcentral is "long non-coding RNA (TAES_LNC004390)". The record is from RNAcentral. Lineage: Eukaryota; Viridiplantae; Streptophyta; Magnoliopsida; Poales; Poaceae.